This 300-nucleotide ribosomal RNA is filed under the name uncultured Eggerthella sp. RNAcentral describes it as "partial 16S ribosomal RNA". The stretch from base 52 to 300 matches the Rfam family "Bacterial small subunit ribosomal RNA", at positions 547 to 795 of the family's 1533-position model. Lineage: Bacteria; Bacillati; Actinomycetota; Coriobacteriia; Eggerthellales; Eggerthellaceae. The record is from RNAcentral.
GGGCAGGCGGGGCGCAGAGCGGGGGAAGAAGGUGGGGUGGGGGCUUAAAUCGGAAGUACUGGGCGUAGAGGGUGGCAGGGGGGCCGCGCAAUGGGAGUGGGAAAGCCCCGGGCUUAACUUGGGAAUUGCGCUUGAAACUACGGGGCUGGAGGGGGGCAGAGGAAGGGGGAAUUCCAGGUGUAGCGGUGAAAUGCGUAGAGAUCUGGAGGAACACCGAUGGCGAAGGCAGCCUUCUGGGCCAACACUGACGCUCAUGCACGAAAGCGUGGGGAGCAAACAGGAUUAGAUACCCUGGUAGUC